ACGCUAGGAUCCGCGCUCCCUCGCAGCCAGCGACAUGUGCCCGAUGUGACCGUGCGUGGCUCAGUCUCCCGACUAGCUUCCCGGUAAAAUGCGGGCUCGGCGCGCAGGUCGCGCCAGUGAAGGUAAAAGUACGUGUCCGUAGCGUGAAGCCAGC
Molecule: unclassified non-coding RNA, 154 nt
Filed under: Physella acuta
Lineage: Eukaryota; Metazoa; Mollusca; Gastropoda; Physidae
Description: external transcribed spacer
Source: RNAcentral